RNAcentral lists this ribosomal RNA (253 nucleotides) under uncultured bacterium. RNAcentral describes it as "partial 16S ribosomal RNA". It matches the Rfam family "Bacterial small subunit ribosomal RNA", at positions 524 to 776 of the family's 1533-position model. The record is from RNAcentral.
UACGGGGGGGGCAAGCGUUGUUCGGAAUUACUGGGCGUAAAGGGCUCGUAGGCGGCCAACUAAGUCAGACGUGAAAUCCCUCGGCUUAACCGGGGAACUGCGUCUGAUACUGGAUGGCUUGAAUCCGGGAGAGGGAUGCGGAAUUCCAGGUGUAGCGGUGAAAUGCGUAGAUAUCUGGAGGAACACCGGUGGCGAAGGCGGCAUCCUGGACCGGUAUUGACGCUGAUGAGCGAAAGCCAGGGGAGCAAACGGG